This 436-nucleotide ribosomal RNA is filed under the name uncultured bacterium. RNAcentral describes it as "bacterial SSU rRNA". It matches the Rfam family "Bacterial small subunit ribosomal RNA", at positions 959 to 1392 of the family's 1533-position model. The record is from RNAcentral.
ACGCCAAGAACCUUACCAAGGCAUUGACAUGAACCGGAAAGACGUAGAAAUACGUCCCCCACUUGUGGUCGGUUUACAGGUGGUGCAUGGUUGUCGUCAGCUCGUGUCGUGAGAUGUUGGGUUAAGUCCCGCAACGAGCGCAACCCUCGUUCUAUGUUGCCAGCACGUGAUGGUGGGGACUCAUAGGAUGACUGCCGGGGUCAACUCGGAGGAAGUUGGGGAUGACGUCAAAUCAUCAUGCCCCUUAUGUCUUGGGCUUCACGCAUGCUACAGUGGCCGGUACAAAGGGUUGCGAUACUGUGAGGUGGAGCUAAUCCCAAAAAGCCGGUCUCAGUUCGGAUUGGGGUCUGCAACUCGACCCCAUGAAGUCGGAGUCGCUAGUAAUCGCAGAUCAGCAACGCUGCGGUGAAUACGUUCCCGGGCCUUGUACACACCG